This 253-nucleotide ribosomal RNA is filed under the name uncultured bacterium. RNAcentral describes it as "partial 16S ribosomal RNA". It matches the Rfam family "Bacterial small subunit ribosomal RNA", at positions 524 to 776 of the family's 1533-position model. The record is from RNAcentral.
UACAGAGACUGCAAGCGUUGUUCGGAUUCAUUGGGCGUAAAGGGUGCGUAGGCGGUGAGAUAGGUCGGAUGUGAAAUCCCAAGGCUUAACCUUGGAAGUGCAUCCGAAACUGUCUUGCUCGAGGACUGGAAGGGAGACUGGAAUUCUCGGUGUAGCGGUGAAAUGCGUAGAUAUCGAGAGGAACACCGGUGGCGAAGGCGGGUCUCUGGACAGUUCCUGACGCUGAGGCACGAAAGCCAGGGGAGCAAACGGG